Aedes albopictus (Asian tiger mosquito) is the source of this 60-nucleotide non-coding RNA. The record is from Rfam. Lineage: Eukaryota; Metazoa; Arthropoda; Insecta; Diptera; Culicidae.
AUACCCUAGUGGUCAAGGCUAUGGAUCGCCAAUCCAGAGACCGCGGGUUCGAUUCCCGUU